This 253-nucleotide ribosomal RNA is filed under the name uncultured bacterium. RNAcentral's name for it is "partial 16S ribosomal RNA". It matches the Rfam family "Bacterial small subunit ribosomal RNA", at positions 524 to 776 of the family's 1533-position model. The record is from RNAcentral.
UACGUAGGGGCCGAGCGUUGUCCGGAGUUACUGGGCGUAAAGCGUGCGUAGACGGUUAUUUAAGUCGGGUGUGAAAGCCCCGGGCUCAACCUGGGAAUUGCAUUCGAGACUGAAUAGCUAGGGUACGGUAGAGGGAAGCGGAAUUUCCGGUGUAGCGGUGAAAUGCGUAGAUAUCGGAAGGAACAUCAGUGGCGAAAGCGGCUUCCUGGACCAGUACCGACGUUCAGGCACGAAAGCGUGGGGAGCAAACAGG